GACGAACGCUGGCGGCGUGCUUAACACAUGCAAGUCGAACGGAAAGGCCCUGCUUUUGUGGGGUGCUCGAGUGGCGAACGGGUGAGUAACACGUGAGUAACCUGCCCUUGACAUUGGGAUAACUUCAGGAAACUCGGGCUAAUACCGGAUAGGAGCUCCUGCAGCGUGGUGGGCGUUGGAAAGUGUCGGCGGUGGUGGCUGGACUCGCGGCUUAUCAGCUUGUUGGUCGGGUAGUUGCAUUCCAAGGCUUCGACGGAUAGCCGGCCUGGGAGGGUGGCCAGCCACAUUGGGACUGCGGUACGGACCAGACGGGUAUGGGAGGCAACGGUGGGGAGUCUUACACAGUGGGGCGACGCGUGUGGCGGCGGCGUCGCGAGCGUAAUGCCGGCCUACGGGUUAUGAACCGCUUUGGCCUGUGACAUGGCGGGCGUGACGGUAAUGGGUCAAGAAGCACCGGCUAACUACGUG
This 468-nucleotide ribosomal RNA is filed under the name uncultured bacterium. Its description in RNAcentral is "partial 16S ribosomal RNA". It matches the Rfam family "Bacterial small subunit ribosomal RNA", at positions 28 to 507 of the family's 1533-position model. The record is from RNAcentral.